UACGAAGGGGGCUAGCGUUGUUCGGAAUCACUGGGCGUAAAGGGAGCGUAGGCGGCGUGGUAAGUCAGAUGUGAAAUCCCGGGGCUCAACCCCGGAACUGCAUCCGAUACUGCCAUGCUUGAGGGUUGGAGAGGUAGCUGGAAUUAUCGGUGUAGCAGUGAAAUGCGUGGAUAUCGAUAGGAACACUCGUGGCGAAGGCGAGCUACUGGACAACAUCUGACGCUGAGGCUCGAAGGCUAGGGGAGCAAACGGG
Molecule: ribosomal RNA, 253 nt
Filed under: uncultured bacterium
Lineage: Bacteria
Description: partial 16S ribosomal RNA
Rfam family: Bacterial small subunit ribosomal RNA
Source: RNAcentral